Molecule: long non-coding RNA, 2016 nt
Organism: Triticum aestivum (bread wheat)
Lineage: Eukaryota; Viridiplantae; Streptophyta; Magnoliopsida; Poales; Poaceae
Exons: 4
Source: RefSeq, a predicted model, not a curated record
ACAGAAACACACACGGGCUCUCAUCUCUCUCCCUCGCCUCCUGUCCCAGCCGCCAGGAGGCGCCCCACCCCGUCCGACCUCGAUCCGGUGCCGCGCAGAUCUGGCUGCGGGUGCAGCAACUUGCUCCGGUGGCGACGGGAGAAAGAGAGAUAGGGCGUGAGGGAGAGAAGAGAGGAAUAAAGGAGAAGGAGAAGGGGCACAAGGUGGGGGAGGCGGUCGCCGGCGGUGGUGGUUCCGGUGACCGGCCGGCGGGCAGGGAGACGAGCUCCAGUUGAGGCGGCGGAGCUCGGUGCGAGAUGGUUCCUCCGGAUCGAGCCUUGGCUCUCCCGAGGCAUGCGGUUGCGGGCUUGGAUCGGGGUGAUCCUUCUCCCCCGCCCUCCCCCUCCAUGGCCAACGGCACAAGAGAAGAGAUGGCUAUUGAUGAGGUCGAGCUUGAGCCUCUAGAAUUUGCUGAGAAAAUGCACACUCAACAGGAAAUUACAACAACAGUUGCGCAGGAAGUUGGAGAGUGCUGAUUUCGAUACGAGUGUGUCAAUCUUCAGUCCGGAGCAGAUCCAAGGGAUUGUUGAGAAAUACUCCAGUUGACAUAUUUGAAGAUAUGAGAGAUUUACAUCGCAUCCAGUCUUCUCCUUCUACUAUAGCCGAUGGUUGUAUUCCACCCAUACACGAAGCAUAUAAUUGCCAUCUAGCUUUACUUCAUGUAAUAUGCACUUUCCUCAGUGAAAGACUACAAGUGUACUAAUUACAUUGGCAGUGGCACCUAUUGGAACCGUCCAACUGGCUCUCGGGGCGAACAUCGCCGCCACCCCACUGUCGAUUACCACCCAAGCUGUUGGCCUCCUUGCAGUGGUGGUCUUCACCCUCUUUCAUCACCAUGAAGCAGAUCAUCGUUGUGACGUUGUCCAGCACUGGCGAGAAGGGUGGCCCGCGUCGAGACGGCCAAGGUUGGGUGGUCUGCAGGUCAGGCUCGUUGGAAUGGUGACUGGUAAGAUGGAGAGGAAUACAGACAUGUCCUUCACCCUCGACAAUGACACUGGCUGCAUCAAUUUUUCAUCAGAUGGUGAGAGCGUCUCGUUGAAUUGCACACUUUCUAGUGAAGUUUCAGAUGUAUCUUAGGGGUACAAUGUUAUAUUUUUGUGCUCCCAGUGCCACUUCUGGAUGUUGACUUGGUUGUGGGAUUUGUCAAAUGCCAAUCUUAAAUAGAAAUAAGUUAGGCUGGUUGUUACGACAAUGCAGGCACCAAGCAAAACUUAGUAACUGGAAAUCUGCAAGUUCUUAAUCAUCUCUGGUUUGAUAAAAUAACUAUUUGAGAGAGAGAGAUAUUACUGUAAAGUUCUUAAACUUUGCGGCAGAUGGAUUUUGCGGCUUUGGAUUUUCCUCUCUCUUGAUUUUUCAAAUUGAUGUGGCUGUAGAAACUUGAGGCUGAAUUUAUUAAUUGGUGUGCAUGCGACCUGGAUUGUGCAAUUAUUUUACGAAUUCGUUGAAAGCUCCGUUGGUAGGUUUGUUUACUUGUUUUUACUGCUUGUGUUGUUACAUCUCAGAAGAAGUUCAGAAGAACUUCAGUGUGACAUAUUUUCCAUCAUGCACAAAUGUGUGAUAGAUUUAGGACAUCCAAUGUAGAGAAACAUUAAGCGGUAAGGUCAACUCAUACAAAUUGCAGGUAUAAUGGACUAGACUGAUUACUGUUAUUUUAGCCAGCGUCAACAAAGAGAAGAGAGGCCGUGUGAUGCUUACAUUGUGGAGAUCCUUCUAUCUAUGAAAUGACAUCAUCCAUGGGCGAUGCUAAACGUUUUAUUCAAAGCUGGGUUGAGUUCUUGGUUAAUUAUGUGAAGAUGAUUAAUGGAGACUACAAAAGGAUUAUCUCAAGAAAUCGUUGCAGGCAUAUUUCUGCAAUCUGUAAUUCCUUUGAUAAACAUAGCAAUUGUGUAGCUCAUGAUCUUGCUUCCCUCGCUAGAGUGUCAGAUAUUUCUGAAACCUGGAUGGGCAGUAUGGUGUGUAUGCAAAUGACUUGGUUAA